GUUUCUAUGUUUAAAAUUUUUUUAAAGGAAAGGAAAAGCCAAAUUUGUCUGAAGUAAAUGUCUGAGAAAUCAAAAGUAUGGACUGAGGGUACAUAGAAGGUUGUAGAAAGUCAGAGGGGAUGUGAGGAGAUAUGAACUAUGUUUGUUGUGGUUUCUUAUACCUGCAAAUACUAAAGUUGAAAGUUAAUUCUGGUUGGUUUUGAUUUUAAAAUUAGCUGAUGAUUCCACACUGCAAACUGUUUAUGUUAAAAAUGGAGAUACAUAUAUGUAUGUAUGUAUGUAUGUAUGUAUGUAUGUAUGUAUGUAUGUAGACAUGUAUGUGACUUGGACUUAACUCUAAAUGUAAGCUAGCUUUAACUGCAUGUAUGUGUAUGUAACCUGGAUCCAACUGUGUGUAUGUGUGCAAGUAAUUAUUAUUCAGAAAAACAUGUUUUAAACAGCAACCAUGUGGCUUUCCUCCAUCUUGGCUGGUGACCUCAUAGGCAGCCACAUGGCUGGCAGCCAUCUUUUACUAAAGAUUAUAAAGAUUCAUUCAGGCUAACAAAAGCUAACUUAGAGAUUUACACUUAAGUACUUAUGUCUUUACCAAGUGUUCAAAAGCAAGCUUCUAGAGAAUUUAAAUAGAUGGUUACAUGUGUUUGAUAAAUAUUGAUAAAAAAAAUAAGGUAUUUGAUAAAUAUUAAAGCUGCAUCUCAAUGCUUUUAUAUACAAGAAUGUACCUUGCUCAAGUAACUAAACUUUAUAAGAGUCAUCCAAGUGAUAGUCACCAGAAGCACCAGCCACAAUGAAAUAGAGCAGGCUGAGAUGUAGAAGGCAGGCUAUGUAUAUGCUGCCAAGGGUAGGGCCAAAAAAAUGAAUCAAGCCUCUAAGUAAAAGAACCAAAAGGAUUGUGAAUGAAUCUGAGAUAUUGAACUUUGGGAUUGUUUGCACUUUUGAGCUUGGUUUUGCUUUAUACAGAUUAUGAUUAUGCUAUGUUUUCUCCCACUUAAAGUAAAAGAAUGUACUUUAUUGUUGAUAUUGCAGAAAGACAUUUGAGAGAUCUUAACCUUUUUAAGAACAGUUUUUUAAAUAUUUAAAUUUAUAGGGCUAUGGGACAUUUUAAGUUUAUAAAAUGCUCUAUAUUGUUAAUAUUUGGACUUAAAAGGCUAAAAAUUAGGAUCAGAGCCAUAAGCACCAAAUACUAACCAGAAACUGGGAUGUUCAUUUUUUGUGGUGCAGCAAGAUAAUGACCUAGGUAAAGGGCUUGGAACAGCUUCUGACUCCAUGAGUAUUAACCCUCUGGAAGUUGGAAAAAAACUUUUUACAGAGGUAGCCUAGAACAACUUUUAUGUCAGAUGUUUGCAUUGAUAUUCAACAAUGGCAAAACAGUAGUUAUGAAAUAGCAUUGAGAAAGCUGAGAAUCAGUGAGGCUUAAGAACAUUUGCUUAGCCUCCUUGCCUUUGCUAAAUUUGUUAAACUUAAGCUAUUUAGAUAAUCUGGAUCAUAUAUAUGUUUUAUAUUGAUGUUUUAUUUUGGUUUCUUUACUCAACUUGUAUUUGAUACUAAAAGACCUUCAAUUUAAAAUCAUUGUUUUUAAGGCUAGACUGUUAGAGAACAUAAGUAAAUAGUCAUAUUAUAAUAAAGUUUUUUUUAAUUGUAGUCAUGCUAAGUGCUGAUGUAACUAAUUACAGGGAUAAGCUUUACUCAGUCCCUUACAUAAGUUUUCAGGGUUGAGCUUAAAACAAGUAACUAGAAACAAAGUUUGUCUAUUCAGAUAUACCUGGAUAGCCCUCAUACUUCAGAGAUCUGCAGAAUAUGGCAUUUAAAAUGUUGAUCUAAAAGCUUUUUAUAUCAGACAGACUCCCAGAUCCUAACAGUGACCCAAAGUCUCCAAAGAAGAUUACACAUGGGGCACCACAAUGUCUCUGCCUGGACUAUGGCAAAGCUGACCACAGGGAAAGAUGCCCCCAAUGCAACACCUGCUGACAGGACCUGGCCCAGACUGUGGACAAGCAGCAAGACAUCAGGGAAUUGAUUGCACCCCUUUUUGCCUUCCUGUGUGUUUCCCUCUUCUACAGGAAAAACUCUGCCUUAUGGGCCUGAUGGCCAAAGAAGACGAUGCUGUUCCAAUACUUGUGCCUCCAAUGCUAUGGAGGCCUGGGUAUGGACUGUUCCCUGUCAUUUAUAGAAUUGGAAGCUGCUUGGUCUGCACUCAGAUAUAAUUUAUCCUUCUCAGAUCUCUGAUAGUACUGAUGGUUAGGCUAGCUAUAAUUUUGUCAGCUUGGCAACAUCAGACAAACAGAUCCUUCCACAAGGCUAUAGCCAGCUUGUUAGCCCAUUUUUAAGAAAAUGUGCUAAGAUAUAAAAGUUUAAAUAAGUCAGAAAGGUUUAAAUAUGGGUCUAAAAAAGGGUCUGAGGAUAUGAAAGCUUAUAAGCUUUGAGGAUCUCAGAAAAUGAUUUAGAUUAUGAGAAAUGUUUCAGAUUGCUUUCACAUUCUAUGAUGUAACAGUUCUGAACUUAGCAUUUAAUAGAGUUCUGAUAAGCUGGUAGAGCAAUGACUCCUUACUGUUCAGUCACAAGCUCAACAUUUUAGAUUUAUUUUAGUUGUAAUCUAAAUAUAUCUAAAUAAAAAACCUAGAUGUGCUUCUCAUCAGACCAAAAAAAAAAAAAAAUCUCUGUCCAAUUUACACCUGGCUCCCUGGACAGAAGGAAAAUGCACAAGCUUUUAACCCAAAUCUGUAGUUCUUGUUGGGACUCAAAGGUAUAAGUCCACUUCUGCUGUUUUACAGAUAUCCAUUACCUGCUUUGUCUAUGAUAUGGAUUUCAGUACAGAUUGGUAAUACUAAGGUAUCUAAAACUUUUAUGUCAUUUUGUAAGAUAAUUCAUAUAGGCUUCAGAGGAUUAACAGUCAUAAAACCUGGAUCCACCUCACAGAGGUCAGAAGAACCCCAGAUAAGUACAGCUUAUUCCUAAGGAUGGUAUUUUUCUCUUCCCUGGUCUUGGGACUCCUGCUCUUCCCAAUUACUAAGGAUAUGGGCCUAAGGGUUCCAAACAAGUUCAUAAAUUUUAACCUCUGUUCCUAGUUUAAAUUUGUCUCAACCGAUUUCCAUUUGAGCUUCAGUUGCUGACUACACUGCUCUGGAUAACUAUGAGCUCUGGAACUGCUAAAAGCUGACAUGGACCAGUCCAGCCAAUGUGAUUGUUCCCUGUCUUUACAGCUGGGUCAAAUAGCCACAUAAUUCUGAUGAAUGUCCCAUUGCCCAGCCUUUGACCAGCCUUUCAGCCUUUUGGAGCCCUGACAACACCCCAAAGCCAGCUUGAAGCAGUUUCAGAAGAAAAUACACCAUUCCAUGUUCCUGUGCAGAAUAAGGCUGAAAUGCUAGGUCAAAAGGAAACUCCUUGGCAUAGAGACAAGAUGGUCAACUAUAAUGCUCAUUGACAUACUAGGAAAAUAGGUUCAGAAUUGUCAAUUGAUAAAUUUAUUAACUGAAAUAGUUCUGCAAUAAGAUAAGACACUUAUCCUUCUUUGUGAAGAACCAAAGAGGUAUUACUCAAAGAUCAGAACUACAGGGCCUUAAGAAUGAUGAUAGAUACAGAUGUCACUGCCCUAGAAAAAUCUGUUAGCUAAUGAAUCUUAGGUCCCAAUACCCUUGAACCUCUGGACAGGUAGCACUCAUAAUUGAGUCCUGUCAUUGGUACUUGUGAAGGGGGGAAUGUGAAGGCAAUACAGACUACAUCUUAGCGAAGGGCCACCAUCUUAGAUCAUCUGCUCUACUCAGUUUCAGGAAGGACCUCAGGAAUGUGCCAUGACAAUUCAAACAGAUACAGGGCAGUAUGUGCCUAUAGACAUUCUGUCUAUGGUUUAUGGCCCUUGAAGAUAUCUAGAUAAUCCUGUUGAGCAGCCAAGAUAAUCCUGCUCAGCAAGUUGUGGUUCCCCACCAAAAGGUCCAAUCCAAUAGUUUCAAAUGUGGUUUCAUGCUGAAAGUCUAGACCAAUAGUUUCCAAAAAUCACCUUGCCCCAUAUCCCUUCUACCCAAUCCCAAGUUGCCAAAGCAUGUAAUUUCCAGCUUAUGGUGUUUCCCUAUAAAAAAAAAAAAACUCUCUACCCCUGAGCCCACUACCUCCACAUUUCCCUCCAUCUGCCAUGUGGUAGCCCAGGUUCAAACCUGACAAUAAAAGGACCCUUAUGUGCUUGUAUCAGAAACUGGCUCCUUGGUGGUCUCUGGGGGUUUUGUGAAAUGGGUACAACAAUCUAAUUGCCAGAAAUCUUCCUAUAGUCCAUCUUGAGCUCAUUUCUGGAUACAAAUUGCCUGAGACCUAACACCUACUUUUAUCCUGUUUUUGAAAGAAUAAUAAACACUCUUUGAAGAGCUAGAAGACAAUGUGAACCUGUUGUCAUGUUUUCAUACAAUGUUAAGGAACACAAAAGUAUUCAGAGUUCUUUCAUCUUUCCAACUGACUUUGCCACUGCUAGCUGGGUAGGGAAGUUAAAGAAGAUCUCUUAAUCAGAACAAAACAUCUUAUGCAGCAAAAUGAGUGAAAUUUCAAACUAAAAAGAUUUCAUCACACAGUUCAAGGAACUUUGCCACCUACUAACACUGAUUUCAAAUUUUAAAUUCAAACAUUCUCUAUUAUCAAAGGCAAAUGAUGAGAACAGAGAAUGUUUUAAGUAAUUUUCACACAGAUCAAACGCAUUAAUAAUUGGCACUGUGCUUUCCAAGAUGUGACAGCUGGAGGUUACAAAAUUAUUGAAAUUUUAAUUAUAUGAUAGUUCACACCAAUAACUCAGAAGUAGAUAAAUAGGAAGUAAAAGAGAUGAUUUUAAGUGGAGACCUUCUGGGAUCUGGUAUUCAUGACUGGUCAGUUACAAUGUGUGGUGGAAAAGCAUCUUUUAAAAUAGGAAGGUCAACAAGCUCCAGUAGCGUCAAGGAAGCAAGACAUGAUUUCACUUUCCCUUCUAUGUAAAUGUGUCUCAAAUUCUUAAAUUCUAAAGUUUUCUUCCUAGAAAAUGAUUCCUGCUCAGUAAAAUUUCAUUAGAAAUGAUGGAUGACAUUUUAGAAACUGUUUUGACUUGGAUUUCUUGUCAUAUUUUAGAGACCCACCUUGGUGUCUGCUUUAGCUAGCCCCUUAAUGAUCUUGCUUCUUUUUACAGGGGUAGCCUAGGACCACCUGAAUGUCAAGUGUUUAUAUUGAGAUUCAUAACAAUGACAAAACUACAAAAAUGUCUCUCCUCAUCUAAGGUUUAUUCAGGCUAACAAAGACCAAUUUAUGCCUAACUGUCUCACUUUACUUACAUAUUGGUAAGCUUUGAAGGAGAUGAGGAGGGUCCCCAAUUCCCAUACAGGAAUUGGUGAAAAUGACUUUUUUUAGCACCUGAAAACAGACAGCUGAGCCUUCCCAAUGGGCCCAGCUGCAACAGGAGACUAUGCUCCAAGCCCCAUACCUUAACAGUUGCCCUGAGGAUACCACCCCCCCCACACACACACACACACACGGAGGACAAGGGACAUCAACUAUGAGGCUCUAUCCCACCAGAGCUGAGCCCAAGUCAACUCUUCCAGGAGCCUGCAUCAAAUGCAGCCUGGGGCCACUGGUCACAGCAUUACCCUGACUAAUCAGCUGCCCAUGAGGCUAUGCCCUGUCUGUUGACAGCCUGGACACUGGAGAUCGGAUGCCCUGUGCAGGCUUGUCUUCUAUGCCAUGGAGAUCCAGUCCAGCCUCGCCAACACUGGCAUCUGACUAUCUUGGCCUUUGAACUCCUAAGCCUGGUGGAGGACUGAUAGCACCUAGACUUGGUGACUCCCAUUCCCUCUCCAAGCCUAGAGUGAUGCUGCAGUAGCAGGUAAGUCCAUUGAUCUUUUACUGGAUUCAGGAGCUACCUACUCUGUUGUAACCUCUUCCUCAGGUCUCAAAGUUUCCUCACCAAUUCCUGUCACAGGGGUAGAUGGAACCCCCUCCUUCCCAUUUAAGAGAAACCUGGGACUGCCUAUGUAGCUGGAAUGCUGUCUUGGUCCUGUUCACUUACUCAUCCUUCUCAGAUCUGAUGGUGUUUGAUGACCAGGAUUUGCCAAUUUUACAGCUCUCUCCACCCCUAAGGCUACAAGCACCUUGAUAACACAUUAGUAAGUUUCCUGUUAAAAGUACAGAUAGGUGUUGUGCCUCAUUCGCAGACUUCAUGGUACAGGAUAAACCAGUUUCAUAUGUAAAUUCAGAAGGUCAAAAUUUUAGUAUUGAUGAAUGCAGUUUUGCUAAACUGAUGGAGCACUGACUACAGACAGUCUUGGGUGUCCUUAAACUUCUGUGGGCUUUACUGGUCCCAGCUUUUAGAGACAGGUUAGCAUUUGAGAGGGUAGGGAAGCCUCCCUUCUCUUCCUUCACUCACCCAACCCCUUCCAUUCAGUAAAUGUUCUCUGGUUAUAGAUUUAAGGAUGUGUUUCAUUGGGCCAAAACCAGGCCUAGAAAAUGUUCAUGCCUUUUAGCCCAAAGCCAUAACUUUUACUAUGACACCAAGGUGUAAAUCUGUUCAAGUUGUUUUACAGACACAAAUUCCUGUACAGAUCCACCCCUCCUGCCAGACACAUACCAAGGCCAGACCCUCAAAGGUCCUCCAGAUAUACCACCAGCUGUUGCACCAACCAAGGACACCAACCAGGCGAAUACCAGCAGGAGAAUGAAGGCUGAGGAAUCUGAAGAACACUGGACAAAUGAGACAUCUAAAGAAAAAGGAGAAACCAUCCAGAAAAAAGUGUCCCAAGAAAAAGAAUAAAUUGGUCUAUUGGUAUAUCACAUAUCUAACAGGAUAAAAUUUCAUGUCUUCUUAAAUGUUUGUUUCUGCUGUUCUCUACAGACACAUAACAUAAAUGGUCUUUAGGUAGUCCCAGUUCAAUUAAAAAUUAAAGCUGGCUUUGGAGUUGUAGUGUGGCUCUCUCCUUCUCUAAACUCAACCAUGUUUGUUAAAAGAAAACGCAAAAUCUCUGUAUGUCAGAACAGCUACCUGAUAUGGGACAGAAGAAAAAUGAAAAUUAAGAGUCUAUUCUAUUGCUAGUAAUCUCAUGAUCCUUUGGUUUUAUUUUGACUCUUUAAAACUUAAGGUAUGAAUUUUAUAUCAAAAUUUGUAAGAUUAACAUACAUAUAUAUUUUAAACUUUUUCAUAUUAAUGGUCAUAUAGAGUUGUAGCUAGAGUUUUCCUGCCUUGCCCACAGUCAGGACAAAUCUUUGUCACCCGCCAGUCCCACAGCCGCUCAGACCCAACCAAGUAAACACAGAGACUUAUAUCGCUUACAAACUGUAUGGCCAUGGCAGGUUUCUUGCUACUGUUCUUAAAGCUUAAAUUAAUCCAUUUCUAUAAAUCUAUACCUUGCCACGUGGCUCGUGGCUUACCGGCAUCUUCACAUGCUGUUUGUCAUGGCAGCUGGCAGUGACUCCCUUUCCCUUCCUGUUCUUUCUUUUCUCCUUUCUGUUAGUCCCGCCUAUACUUCCUGCCUGGCCACUAGCCAAUCAGUGUUUUAUUAUUGACCAAUCAGAGUAAUUUGACAUACAGACCAUCCCACAGCAUAGAGUACUAGCUCAUUCUAGAGAAAAGGCUUCAUCUAGCUUCCUGUACAUUUCAGGUUUGAAUCUCUAUCAGUUUUCUGUAGUGAACCAUGACCAUACCCAACAGCGACUUUGAAGUCUCCAAAAAGAUGGAACCCACAAUUUCAUCAGGCCUAUGAUAAUGCCACCAAGCUGACAAACACCCCCAAAGAUCGGCUUUGGACUACAAACUGCUCAGAACAAUUUCAAGAUGGCUAGCUGAGAUGAUACAGCCUCACAGAUUACUCGAGACAGGACUUCAGUCAAGCCCUAUACUUUCACAUUAUGCAGAGACUGGACAACAAUGAUACAGCUACCUUUCCCAGGACUUGACAAUUAACCCGAACAAUUUUCUUUUCAGGAUACCCCAAAGAUGCCUUUACCCCCAGAGAGCAGAAAGUAAUUUUAAGAACAUGAAGCCCACAUUCCCAAGAGGUGGGGUGGAUGACUUUUGACCUUUCAAUGGGUAAUGGAUAUUUGUCAUCGUUUAGGAUGGUUGGUUACAAGUUGUAAAUUGAUAAUGGUCAGGAAAAAAGCUAAACAAAGGAUAUUAAAUUCAGGUUUCUUGUUUGAAAAAAAAAGAGGAUAUAAAUAAGAGGUAAUUAUUGAAUAUGAAAAACAAAGAUAUUGAAAUGAUAGGAUAAAAGGGUAGAUUAUUGAAUCUACUCUGAAAAGAAAAAGAGUAUGGAUAUGAUAAGAUAAAAAGGUAGAUUACUGCCGGGCAAUGUUGGUACACAACUUUGAUCCCAGUUCUUGGGAGGCAGAGCCAGGUGGAUCUCUGUGAGUUCAAGGCCAGCCUGGGCUACCAAGUAAGUUCCAGGAAAGGUGCAAAGCUACACAGAGAAACCUUGUCUCAAAAAACCAAAACAAAAAAACAAACAAAAAGGUAGAUUACUGAAACUACUUUUAGAAAGCAACUACUAGUUUUAAACAUUUUACAAUGGAGUGGAUUUUGUAUAUUGUAUAUAAAUUAUGUAUAUUGAUACAAAUUUGGGACUGAUUUUUAAAAAAUACUGUACAUGUAUUUCUAAUCUUGUCCAAGGUAUGUAUUGUACCUAUACUGUUCAUUUAACAAUGUAAUGCAAAUCUGUAGUCCUUGAAAGUUAUUAAUCAACUAAUUAGGAUAUAAAGAAAUGCAGGUUAGUAGUUAGUCACCUAUUACAAUCAGACUUGUAGUCAGGUUAGGUAUGUUUUCAAGGUCAGAAAUAUAUAUUAGAUAGGUCAUCUUCAAACACUUCAGAGAUCUAAAGAACAUGGCAUUUAAGAUGUUUUAAUAACAUAUUCUUUUUUUUAUAAAAUGAGACAUGUCUGCUCCUGGCAGCACCAAUCUACUUGAGAGAUGAUGGGUACGGAUGAAACUCCUUAUGGAGUUUACUUUCUUUGUGGUAAAAGUUAGCCACUGGGCAAGAAAGUGUCCUUACCUUGACUGCUGACAGUAUGCUGUCCAAAAUGGACAAGCAGGACACAAAAGAAAGGACUACUGAAUUUUACCAAGACAAAGUAGGACAGCCCUUCAGAAAAUCCUGCUUCCCAAAAAGUCUGUCAGGUAUGCUAAGCCUGUAGGCCAAAGAUGCAUGCACCAACAUUGCAGAGGAACUUCGGGUGACUGUACGGGCAGCCUUAUGUCCCUGUCAUCAGGUAGCAUUACAUCCUUCUGGAGUCUUUAAUGGAGUUGAAGACUAGAAAGUUAUAAUAAAAGAUAAAUUAGAUACAAUACUUUAGACUCACCAAGAUAAGAUAGAUAAUAAAGUAUUUUCUCUAAUUUUGUCAAAUGAAAAUGGAUUGGAUAUUAUUACUGUAAUUUACUUAAUAACUUUUUUUUACUAUAUUAAGGUUAAACCUUUUUUUUUAAUUUUUUUAAUUUUUAUUUUGCAAUACAAUUCAGUUCUACGUAUCAGCCACGAAUUCCCUUGUUCUCCCCCCUCCCACCCCCUCACCUUCCCUCCAGCCCACCCCCCAUUUCCACCUCCUCCAGGGCAAAGCCUUCCCCACGGACUGAGAUCAACCUGGUAGACUCAGUCCAGGUAGGUCCAGUCCCCUCCUCCCAGGCCGAGCCAAGCGAUCCUGCAUAGGCCCCAAGGUUAAACCUUUUUUUAAUUAAAUAAAAAAAAGGGAAAUGAUGUGGGAUAAUGCUCUUGUACACUGUAAAGAUUUGUCACUCAAAUUGGUUUAAUAAAACGCUGAUUGGCCAGUAGCCAGGCAGGAAGUAAAGGCGGGGCGAUCAAACUAAGAAUGCUAGGAAGAGGAAAGGUGGCUUUAGAAGUCUCCAGCCAGCCACAGAGCAAGCAAGAUGAGAAUGCCAAACUAAGAAAAGGUACCAAGUCAUGUGACUAAACAUAGACAAGAAUGAUGAGUUAAUUUAAGUGUAAGAGCUAGUCAGUAAUAAGCCUGAGCUAAUGGCUGAGCAGUUAUAAUUAAUAUAAGCUUCUGUGUGGUAAUCUGGAAGAAGCUGCUGGGUAUUUGAAAGUUGUUGGUGGAACAGAAACUUUUGCCUACACAACUCUGCUAUACUCAUAGAUAAGUGCCUUAUUCAGCCAUCAUCAGAGAAGCUGCCUCCUACAGUAAAAAACAAAUACAGCUGGAGAUUACAUGCACACACACACACUCACACACACAUUGGAACACUCAUCCCUAAAUGGGGUGCUCAUUAAAUCUAUCCUCUAAGAGUUCAGAGAACCCCAAGGAAGAGGAGGCAGAAAGAGUGUAAGAGACAGAGGUGAUGGAGGACAUCAGAACAAGGCCCUCUGAAUCAACUAAGCACAGAUCCCAUGAACUCAUGGAGACUGAAGCAACAAGCACUGGGCUUGUGUGACUGCACCACAUCUUUUGUGUAUAUAUUAUAGCUUUCAGUUUAGUGCUUUUAUGGGACUCCUGAGUAUGUGAAGGAGUGGGUCUCUGAGUCUUGUGCUUUCUUUUAAGUUCUAUUCUGUCUGUUGGUUUACCUUGUCCAACUUCAAGGCUUUUAUCUUACUAUAUUUUAGCUUAUUAAAAAAAAUCUUUUUAUAGUCUAAAAGAAAUAAUCCUAUAAAUUCACAAUGGAGCUAAAAUGUCCAAAACAAAGUGAUGUUAUAGCUGUCUUGAUUCUAUAGCACAUAGCCUUGACCACUGACCUAUGGUGCCUCAGUAACAAGAGUGAAAUGCUGACUCAUAGUAGUGUAAAAAUGCAACACAAUUAUGUACAGUACACAAAACUGAUAGUGGUAACAAACAACCAUGGUAUUUAUUUAUUUGCUAUUUUUGUCACUAUAUUAAAGUGACUUUUACUUACCUCCACCUUUUACUGUCUUCAUUGCAUCAAGAGGCCAAAUCAAGGGACUGAUUUUGAUCAUGCAAGCUUAUGUACUCUGUGAUGUUUGCACAAUGGCUAACUUACCUAUAGAUGUACUUCUCAGGACAUACAUUUUAUUGAGUGAUAUAAUGCCACAUAGGCGGAGAGAGAGAGCGAGGGAGAGAGAGAAAGCGAGGGAGAGGGAGAGAGGGAGAGAGAGAGAGAGAGAGAGAGAGAGAGAGAGAGAGAGAGAGAGAGGUAUAAGAGAGAGAGAGAGAUCAG
This is a long non-coding RNA of Peromyscus californicus insignis, 11101 nucleotides long. RefSeq lists it as uncharacterized. NCBI's taxonomy places the organism in Eukaryota, Metazoa, Chordata, Mammalia, Rodentia, Cricetidae. The transcript has 3 exons. The record is from RefSeq and is a predicted model, not a curated record.